Molecule: transfer RNA, 77 nt
Filed under: Patescibacteria group bacterium
Lineage: Bacteria
Also listed under: 1 other name
Description: tRNA-Ile
Rfam family: tRNA
About the family: Transfer RNA (tRNA) molecules are approximately 80 nucleotides in length. Their secondary structure includes four short double-helical elements and three loops (D, anti-codon, and T loops). Further hydrogen bonds mediate the characteristic L-shaped molecular structure. tRNAs have two regions of fundamental functional importance: the anti-codon, which is responsible for specific mRNA codon recognition, and the 3' end, to which the tRNAs corresponding amino acid is attached (by aminoacyl-tRNA synthetases). tRNAs cope with the degeneracy of the genetic code in two manners: having more than one tRNA (with a specific anti-codon) for a particular amino acid; and 'wobble' base-pairing, i.e. permitting non-standard base-pairing at the 3rd anti-codon position.
Source: RNAcentral
GGGCAUGUAGCUCAGCUGGUUAGAGCACUACACUGAUAAUGUAGGGGUCGGAGGUUCGAGUCCUCCCAUGCCCACCA